This 319-nucleotide ribosomal RNA is filed under the name uncultured eukaryote. RNAcentral describes it as "partial 18S ribosomal RNA". It matches the Rfam family "Eukaryotic small subunit ribosomal RNA", at positions 1470 to 1796 of the family's 1831-position model. The record is from RNAcentral.
CCCUUAGAUGUUCUGGGCCGCACGCGCGCUACAAUGGUCUUCGCAAACGGAUGCAUUCUCGAAGGAGAAUGCCAAUCUUGGAAUCUAUGCCUUGGUCGGGACAGUUGCUUGCAAUUUUUCGACUCGAACCAGGAAUUCCUUGUAAUCGUGAUUCAUCACAUCACGAUGAAUACGUCCCUGCCCUUUGUACACACCGCCCGUCGCUCCUACCGAUCGAAGAGUUAGGUGAAUUGUUUUGAUCGAUAAGAUUUGACUAUGGUCAACUCUCGUUGUGAAAUCCUGUGAAUCUGACUGUUUAGAGGAAGGAAAAGUCGUAACA